GGAAGAUGGGGAUUUGGUUUUUAGGGACAUUAGAAGUUUUAACUGAACUUUAUUAGGCAAGCAAUGAUGGCUUUUGUUGAAGAAUCUAAAUUUCCUUUGUGCUCAUGUAUUUAAAGCUAAAUAAUUUUAGUACAUGUGGCUUUUUUGAUGCCUAGCUUGGCCAUCAUCCAACUCAUUGGUGGAGGAGCAUUAUACAGGGGUGAGAGAUUUUGAAGGUGGGUCUUACUUGGUGAGUUGGGAAUGCAGACAACAACCAUAUUUGGAGUGAUGGAUGGCUUUUCAUGUUGGAGAAUGGUAAGCCUCAAGUUGUUAAUCAAUUCCCAGAGGAUGCAAAGGUUAGUUCUUUGUUUCUCU
Molecule: unclassified non-coding RNA, 354 nt
Filed under: Hevea brasiliensis (rubber tree)
Lineage: Eukaryota; Viridiplantae; Streptophyta; Magnoliopsida; Malpighiales; Euphorbiaceae
Source: RNAcentral